AACAUACUCCCUUCGUCCAGAAAUAUUUAUCGAAGAAAUUGAUGUAUCAAAAUAUAUUUUAGUUCUAGAUACGUUCAUUUUUAUCCAUUUCUCUCACAAGUAUUUUCAGACGAAGGGAGUAGUUA
Molecule: non-coding RNA, 125 nt
Organism: Triticum aestivum (bread wheat)
Lineage: Eukaryota; Viridiplantae; Streptophyta; Magnoliopsida; Poales; Poaceae
Source: Rfam